GCCCGGAUGGCAUAGUGAUUUGAGCACUGGAUUAUGACUCUGGAGACCAGGGUUUGAUUCCCGCUCGGCCA
Phrynosoma platyrhinos (Desert horned lizard) is the source of this 71-nucleotide non-coding RNA. The record is from the annotation of a GenBank genome assembly. Lineage: Eukaryota; Metazoa; Chordata; Lepidosauria; Squamata; Phrynosomatidae.